GAAGUCUUCGUGCUCGGUGAUGUGACGCGCCUGCUGCAGAGCCUGAGUGUAUUCCACCUGAGGAAGCAAGCUGCCUGUCAUCCUUGAAGAUAAAACUAGGCUUCUGUUUUCUUCUGUUAACCUGAACGAUGUCAUUUGGGUCAGAGGUCCUCCCCUCUCAGAUUAUGUUAACGUCUGACUCUGUCCAAAUGAGUUCACUUCCAUUUUCAAAUUUUAAACAAUCAUAUUUUCAAUUUAUAUAUUGUAUUUCUUAAUAUUAUGACCAAGAAUUUUAUCGGCAUUAAUUUUUCAGUGUAGUUUGUUGUUUAAAAUAAUGUAAUCAUUCAAAUGAUACAUAUUGUUACACUACUAUUAACUAGGC
RNAcentral lists this long non-coding RNA (361 nucleotides) under Androctonus crassicauda. Lineage: Eukaryota; Metazoa; Arthropoda; Arachnida; Scorpiones; Buthidae. The record is from RNAcentral.